CCUCACAAAACUCCUGCAUUCUACUGUUGUUUCCUCUGGUAGCUCUUGAUGCAGCAAUCCUGGUCUGUAGGAAUGCUCUGUGGUCCUUAAGGACACACAAUAAUAGACACCCAUCCACGUGAGUAAAACCUUGCUAUCAGCUAAGAAGUGAUGCUGUUUUGGGUUUUACCUUUUUUGCCUUUUAUAUAUUCUCUGUAUUCUUUACACAUAUAUUUGUAGCCUAUUGUAUUAGUGGCUAGUUUGGAUUUUUUUUUUCCCCAGUAAUUUUCCAUGGCCUUUCCCUAGGCAGAAAGACAAAACAAAUUGCAGAACUCCAAGCCCCAGAGGGUAUGUGAACCCUAUCUUCUGCUGGUUCUUCUGAUGCCAAGGUUGGGGAAAACUCCUGGAGCUUCAUUUCAUGGACAAAGUACAGCUAAUACUGAAGGGGAGAAAACUUAGAAAGGGAUUGACUCUGAAGAAAAAUUCCAUCACCACUUGUCCUCCUAAUUGGUGCUCUUUUGUUAAUUAUGCUAAUUUACUAGACUUCUAAAAGCUACAUGUUCACUCCAUGUUGGGAUAAAAGGCAACAGAAGAAAGGACUGCCUGUUUGCCUUGGCAAGGAGAGUGUGGAGGGAAGAAGGGAAUAACAAAAACAAUGUCAAUAACUAAACAUGCCAAUUCAUAGAGUGUGUGAGGGAAGGUCUCUGGGGUCACACAUCAUUAGAAGAUGUAGCUAAAUAACCUGGUAAGGCAUUGCAGCAGCAGGGAGCUUCUCCAGGAGACCACAUCGCUCCAACAGGAAGGAGGAAAAAACCAAGGUGUUGCUGACAAAUGCUAUUUCUUGUGCUGUUCUGGAGUUGAAACCAAGUGGAAAGCAAGUGAUGUAUAAGCUCUUCUGCCACCCAUUCCAGCUUCUCAUUUUAACCUCAGUUGAAGAGGAUAAACUCCUCAUGACCGCAAGAUGACACCAAUCAGAGUGAGGAAAAGAUGAGAAAUACUUUAGAUUCUGUGUCUGAAACAAUUGCUCAGUGAGUCAAGACUCAAACGUAAUGGGGAAGGAAGAAUUGCAAGAAGGAAAGAUUUACACAGACACAGUUAAGGAUAAAGCUGAGCAGAACUGCACGGUUUUGAUUCCCAGGAAUUUCCUCCAAACUGUAAUUUGACUUUGACUUUGUGAGAAGACAUACCUGCUGACUCUAAUAUUUGAUGAAAGUCAAAGCAAAAGUACUAAACUUCAAGGUGCAUGGUGGCAAAACUAAGGGUCUGAAAUGUGACCUGAACAUCCUCUGUCUUUGGAGGAGAAAGGAGGGAAAAUGAAACUUUUUUGCUGAUCUCUGGAGUACUACGCCCAGCUCUUCAGCUCUUGGCACUUACACUGCUGCCUGGCUGGCUUAACACAUUACUGAUUCUCUUUUAUAGUCCUUUUGCAGAGUUGUGAGCGACUAAACAAGUCCCAGAGAAUGAUGUCCUAUAUCUUACUUGGAUAUUAAACAAUUGGAAAGAGUAAGGAGAAGAGCUGCUGUAACUACACAAGGACUGGAAAUACUGCCUUGCCAGCAGCAUGUUAAAAAUGAAAUACAAGCUCUUUAAACAGAUUAAAGAUUAUUUGAUUACAACGUGUAAACUCCUUGAAGAGGAAACUGAUAGAAGUGGUACCUGAAAUAAGAGAAAUGAGCAGCACAAUACCAGGGGCAGGAAGGUAAAUCCACACAUAUUUAUAUUAAAAAUAUAAACAAUCCCUUCCUCUUGGGAAUUAGAAUAGCAAGGAAAAAAAUGGGCCAGAGUGUUGGAGUCAAGCCUGCAUGUGGUUGGGCAUUCUAGCCUUCAGCCAAGCAGAAAUCAGUCCCACUUUAGGGACUGGAAACAUGCUAAAAGCUAGUUUGAAACCAAGAAAUCCUCAUUUCUCUUCCUGCUUUUGUGGAUCUUGUAGAUGUCUGGGUCAAGUAAUACAAGAGGUCACACCAGGUGGUUCUCUGUUGUCUUUGGGUCUUGAUAUUGGCUGCUUGGCAACCCUUGCUUCGUCCUGCCUCCAGCCCUGUUGUGAGGUUUUGGAGUACUCCUUACAUCUGGAAAUACCUGAAGGAAAUUUGAAGACCAGUGAUGGAAGUGGUCAGAAAAUGUCUUUCGUAAGGAGAUCUCUCUUCAAAGACAAGUUAUUUUGUAGGAAAAAAACACCCUUACUUCUGCAGAUAGUAUUUUUGAGUUUAAAUCAGGAAAUCCAAGCCCAAAUUAUUUAUUUCUGGGCUUGUUGGACCAGAAAAAAAAAAAAAAUCUCAGUUUGUUCUACUGGCCAGAAACUGUAAUGAGCUGGUUCAAUAUUAUUGUUUAGUUUGUUGUGGUGCGAUUCUCUGUGGUCCUAAUUCAUUCCCACCCCAACUUGUGGGGCUGAUGGAUUAUUUGUAUAUAAAACAGCCAGAUUUCUCUGGAAGCAAGAACUGUGGUGCAGUGUGGGAGUUCUCUGAUGUCUCAUGGAAGCGUCAUCCCUGCAGAGAGCACAGGGAAAAGAACAAGCAUGCCAAGGAAUAAUUAAUCAGGAGUGUCUGUGCUGUGGUGUUUAUGAUCAGCUGAGAUAUUAUUGAGGAAAAAAAAAAAAAAAGGCAAACCAAUUUUCCUUUUUUCCACUAUUAUCACCUUUACCUUUAUCUCCUCUAAGCUCUGUUUUACUUUUUUUAUCACUCAUGUUGAACACUGGUAAGCUUCUUCAGCCAACCUCAGGCACUCAUUUUCAGGAAAUUAACUUGGCAUUGUAACAGCUCUUAACAUCUGUGACUCUUGACUUGCAGAUAGUUGAAUAAAGGAGCUAGGCAGAGCUUUAAUUUAUUGCCAAUAAAUUUCUGAUUUUUUUUUUUCAACUAGGACUUAACAGUUUGAUUUUUCCUUAAUUAUAUACAGACUAUCUUGGGGAUGAAAAUAGCAUGAGGGAUAUAAUGUGCUUUGUACUACAACAUCUUCCAAACAGGCCAAAACAGAAUAUCCUAAUAUUUCCAGAACAAAAAAUUGUCCCUGCUGGUAUAAAGCUAUUUUGUUUCCCUUUUAGACUGGCACUGGUAAAGCUCUUGCUGUGAAAUUUGAAGUGGAUGUAAGUUUCUAGGAAUAUUUGCUGCAGAACAGAUGUGCUCUUCUUUACCCUCCUAGUGCCAGUUCAGCCUGAAAUUCACCUGUGUUUACAUCAGAGUAAAACAAAGUACCCCUGGGAGCAAAGCUACCAACCAAGCAUCUUCUUACAGAAUAGUGAUACUGUGAUGAAAACACUUUUGUUGCCAAGGAAGAGGUAAGGAAAACAAUAAAGAGCAUAGUGUAACCCCAUGGUCUACAGGUGAAAAAAUAGCAGGCACACAGAAAAACUGCAUUCAUCUGGACCUGCACCUAAUUUUUCAUUCCUAUAUGAUAUAUUAUAUAUAUUGAUAUUUAAUUUACAUUCCACAUAUUAUUCCUAGUCAUCCCUUUUUCUUCAUGGUCUUUCAGGUCUUUCCUAAUUUCAUUUGCAAUAACUAAGAAACUAUGUCAAAGCCUUUUAACAAGUAUGCAUCCUUCUGCAUUAUAAACUGCCUCUGGUUUGUUUGUUUGUUUGUUUUACAUAAUUUUAAUGUUAUUUCCACUCUUUUCAAUCUUCCUCCUAUUACCACAAUUUUCCAAUUUACAUCAAAAAGCAAAUACUGCAAUUGCUUUAUAACAGUUGAGAAUUUUUUGCACUGAGUUGCAUCUACCUUGCUUAGCAGUCAUAAUUAGACACAAACCGAAUUUAGUUUAGAUUCCUAAUUUCAGAUGCUCUCCUUUUUGCAAAAGAACUGAAAAAGACACAUCCUUUAGACCUGAAAAUUUUGAAUUUUUGUAUCUGGAUCAGCAUGUGGAAGAUGAAUUCCAUUCCAGCUUUUCCACUCAAAUUCCCACCUCUUACCUAAUAGUACCAUAUUUUCUUCCCCUUUUUAACUUUUUUUUUUGGAUCACAAUAAACAUGGUAGCUGCACUUUACUUGGAAUAUUAAUUUAGCAGAACACAAACCAAAAUGGAUACUUGGGAGGUAAUAGUGUAUAUGAGUUUUAAAAUUAUCAUAUACUAAAAUUGCUAAGCAACUCUCUUAAGAGUGACUGUUUGGGAAGUUCAGAACUGAAGGUUAAAUUGCAGCCUGAUUUUUCAAAUGUGAAAGCGAUGGCAGUUCCCAGUAGAUUUAAGUAAAUAUUUAAGUAUAUUUAAGAACGUAUUUAGGUUUAUAGAGUUCAAAUUUUCAGCCCGAAUUUGCAAAGUCUAAAAAGAAAGAUCCUAUGCUAGUGAUAAGCAUUUAAAAGUUCAAUGCUAAAGCAGUAUUAAACUGGCACACUUUGGUGUUCCUGAAAUUUAAUAGAUCAUUAUUAGGUAUUUUACAUGUAAAUCUUCCACAUCUGUCUCUUGAAUUAGGUCAACAGUACCCAUUUUAAAACUUCCCACUUAUGAGUUUGUGGAAAUGGACAAAUAGCCAGUGUUUGGAAAAUUUCAGAUGUAAGACUUCUUUCACUCCUUUUUCAAAUAAUUUAUAUUCUAGGUCUUCUGCACUGCUGCUGAUGUGUGCUGCUGAUGUGAGGGACCUCCAGGGAGUUCUGCAGUCUUUGGUUUGCUUUGUUUUGAUGCUGUGGGGGAAGAACCUUCAGCUUUGGUUUAGGCUUUGGUGUGCACUGUCCUGUUCCAUAACCAGAAGCAGAGAGAUACUGGUAUUUUGUCAUUUUCACCCUUUUUGCUUUCUUUACUGAUAAAGUUUGAAACUUAUUUAAUUCAUCACCUAAAAUAUUUUUUUUCUCUUUUUUAACAUAUUAUCAGGUAAUAAAUAUUUAUUCUCUGCAAUCAUUGCCAGUCCUAUGGUGAUCAGCUUAGUAUAAAACCCAAGAUAGAAAAGACAGUGUGUUUAUGAGGCAGCUGACUGGGGAUUUAGAAUUUUCCCUUUUCAGCUUAUAGAAAAUCGUGUAACCUGUGUGGGCCAUCCUUUUAGGUCAAUCUCAUGCAGACUAUUUUCUCUUUUUCUAUAUCAAUCCUAAAUUAAUACAGUAGGUGCUCUGCAGCCAGCAUGGUUUUGCAUUGAUCUUGGCCAGCUUGUUUACAGUGUUUUGGCAAGUUGCUGAUGUACUUCUCCCUGGGGAUAGAGCAGGGGUUAAUUGCUGUUAAACUCUCAGUGCCAAGUAAUGGUUCAGACUCUGUGCUACAUUAAAGAUGACACUAAUAAGGAAAGAGUGCACUGGAUUGCUCUGUGUUGAAAAUUGGACUUGUGGUGACAGAAACUUGGAGCAGAGCUGAUGUAAUAGGGAGGCCAUAAUGUAAUUAUAACUGCUGAACAUGUGUCAUACCAAGUUAAAUGAUACAUUAAUGAAUCAAAACAGGUGAUGGAGUGUUGCUCUUUCAGCAGAUAGAGGUGUUUUCAAGGUCAAAUUGUCAUUAAUCUAAUAAUCUGUAAACUGUAUAUGCUUCAAAUUAUAAGCAAAAUCAUCUUUAAUGGGUUUUUUAGUGCAUUACUUGUCCUGUACCAAAGGGGUGACAAAACCAGAAGAUGCUGUUCUCGGUGUAAUUUUGUUUAUCCCUCUGUUAUUAUAUUUCUGUUAUGCCUAAUACAAUAUCUGUGUACCUAACAUUUUUCAGUCAGGUGUGAGCUUUGGAUCCCUGGGCUCUGAGGAGGCAGCACCCAAGCCAAGAGGUGUGUAGACACAUGAGUACAGCAUGGAGAUAAAGUCAUAAUCAUUGCUGGGAGACUGAAUAUAGUCAGUGAGUGGCUUCAGGUCAGCCUGAGCCAUGCACAAAACCAGCUCACUCCUGCUCAGAGCAGAAGUAAGUGUGUGGUGGUACCGUGAGUUAUGUUUUUUUGUAAAUUCUCUCUGCCUAUUAUGAUUCUGCAGCAAAUGAAAACCAUCUCUCACCUCAGCUGGUUCCUGGUUCAAGUCCUCCUGUUCAUGGAUGAAGUUCCUGCUUUUUGAUUCUGGUAGGACCACUGUGUUCAGAAGGUAAACAAAAGCUUCUGUUCCAGAUCUUGUGAUAAUCCAGAACCAAACAUACAAAUGGUACUUGGCUGCUUGAACAUGACAGUGUCUAGCUCCACAGCAAGUCCUGAGUGCUUAAAGAAACCUAUCACCAUUUUUUGGUAGUUUUAUUAAUGAAACCCACAGCAGUUUUACAAGUAGCCUUGGUUGAGAAGUUGAAAUGAGACCCCCUCCAUGGAACAAGGAAUAUACCCAUUUUGAGCAAAGAAAUCCUUUUUUGAAUUUUUCAAUCCUGUGAUUCCUGCCGUGACUAAAAAAAAAAAAAAAAUCUGUUUAUUUCACAUUAGUCUUGCUUCUCAUAAGCUUCUCAUUUAUCCUCAUACUGUUAAAAAAUGAAGCAAAGAUUACUUUGAGAGGGUUUAGCUGAGUCCAUUUCUGAGUUUCUAUUAAAAAUGGGAUUUUAAUGCCUAAAUCAAAUUGGGUCUUUUGACAAUGUCAUAAUAUGUCAUACUUUGAUUUUUUAAAUUCUUUUUUUUCUUAAUAUGGCAAAUAAAUAUUAAAAAAAUGGAACUUUGCAACAGAUUCCUUGCUAAAUGGUUCUUCUGCAUUGUUUUUAUAUUUUAUUUUUCCAUAGAGGAUUGUGGGGUUGAUCUCUUUCUUUAAGAUGAUGUCACCUUAUUUUCCUUCUGUCCUGUUACUUCAGGGAGGCAGGUUUUUCUUUUGGGAAAGUCAAGUACCAGUAGGACUACAGGCCCUCAGGAGACCUGCUGGGAACCAGAUCCAUGCCAGCUCUAUUCAUCAGCACGUCCUCUCUUCCAGCUCUGCUUUAUGGUUAACGAUCUCCAGUAAGAUCAGCCCAUCCCAGGCACAACUUUGUGAAGAACACCUGAGGCAGGAUGAACUGUUCCCAUUCUCUUUCUAAAUCUUCCCUGUUCACCACCCUUUUUUUCUUCUUCUCUUCCUCUCUCUGUGUUUUGGUGCUAGUUAUGAUAAGGUGUGCAGCUCGGUGGCUUCUUUAUGUUGUCACUCUGAAUGGAUGAACAGAAGGGGAGUAGCGCUUGUGUUCAGCAGAUUAACUCUGAUUUCUUAAGUUGCUUCCAAGUACAUUCCACGGAAUCAUACCAUUAUGGAAUGGUUGGGUUGGAAGAGACCUUAAAGAUCACCCAGUUCCAACCCCCUUUCCACCAGCUCGGGUUGCUCAGAGUUCCAUCUAAUCUGGCCUUGAGCACUUCCAGGAAUGAAGCAUCCACAACUUCUCCAGGAAGCUUUUUCCAGCCUCACAA
This is a non-coding RNA of Taeniopygia guttata (zebra finch), 7198 nucleotides long. Lineage: Eukaryota; Metazoa; Chordata; Aves; Passeriformes; Estrildidae. The record is from RefSeq and is a predicted model, not a curated record.